CUUCGGUCAACGCUUUUACACCCCAAUGAAUUUACAAAAAGAAGCAUUCAAUUCUUAAGUAAAACUUAUUUAGUUUUCAUUAUUUUUAUUUGUAUAUAUCACAUGACUUUUUAUUGUAUCAUUUUAGAGUCACGAUGAUAUUGAUCAGUUUUGAUACCUGCGUAUGUGUCAAAGCUUCAUUAAAAAGUCUGCUAUUGUCAAAAAAUAUUAUUCUGCUUUCCCCAUUACAGUCCGAAACAAAAGUCUUAAAUUUGUCUGGCAAACUUUCAAGGUACGUAAAGCGCGACAACCCUUUAGGCUGUAGAAAGUCAAACCCUGUAAAGACUAUAACUAUUUUAUCUAUUAAUUUUCGCAAUCUUCUGUAUAUGAGGUCAAUCACUUUCGUAUCUUGAUCUAAAUUGGUUCUUGAUGAAAAGAUAUACAGAUAUGCGUGGGGUUCCUCUCCGAGUUGUUGGGUUGCUGUGUUGAUAAUUUCACAACGUUUACUUUGACGUCUUCCCUCGCCAAUUCACUAAUCCUAAAUUCAAGAGUUUCUACGAUUCUGAUUGUUUUCCCACAUCUAAUUGUUCUAUGAAGAAUAUUUGUUGAUGUGUUACUUUUUGUUAAACAUUGCGAUGGAAAUUUAGCUUCUCCUAAUAUCAUGUCUCCUGUCGAACUUUUACCACUUUGUUUAGUUCCAAACAGGACCAGGCGGAGCUCGUCGUUAUCUACAAGUGAAAUCUAUCAUAGUAUUCUCAUUUACUGAAAUAUUUUUAAAGAAAAUCAGAAAAAUUGAUACAGUCAUCUGUGUAUAAUAUGUCCACCUUAUGUUUUUGUACGGUACGUUGUCACUUUACUAAAUAAGGCUUC
This 849-nucleotide long non-coding RNA is filed under the name Mytilus galloprovincialis (Mediterranean mussel). The record is from RNAcentral. Lineage: Eukaryota; Metazoa; Mollusca; Bivalvia; Mytilida; Mytilidae.